GUAGGGAAUAUUGGGCAAUGGAGGCAACUCUGACCCAGCCAUGCCGCGUGCAGGAAGACGGUCCUCUGGAUUGUAAACUGCUUUUGAAUGGGAAGAAACGUAGCUUUGCGAAGCUAUUUGACGGUACUAUUAGAAUAAGCACCGGCUAACUCCGUGCCAGCAGCCGCGGUAAUACGGAGGGUGCAAGCGUUAUCCGGAUUUAUUGGGUUUAAAGGGUGCGUAGGCGGCUUUAUAAGUCUGGGGUUAAAGGCGGCAGCUUAACUGUACGCAUGCCCUGGAAACUGUGAAGCUUGAGUGACUUGGAGGUAGCUAGAAUUCCCUGUGUAGCGGUGAAAUGCAUAGAUACGGGGAGGAAUACCGAUUGCGAAGGCAUGUUACUACGAGUAAACUGACGCUGAUGCACGAAAGCGUGGGGAUCAAACAGGAUUAGAUACCCGGGUAGUCC
Molecule: ribosomal RNA, 445 nt
Filed under: uncultured bacterium
Lineage: Bacteria
Description: partial 16S ribosomal RNA
Rfam family: Bacterial small subunit ribosomal RNA
Source: RNAcentral